Molecule: long non-coding RNA, 999 nt
Organism: Xyrauchen texanus (razorback sucker)
Lineage: Eukaryota; Metazoa; Chordata; Actinopteri; Cypriniformes; Catostomidae
Exons: 3
Source: RefSeq, a predicted model, not a curated record
CUUGAUUGCAUGGUGGGAAGAACGCAGUGUUCAAGAUGCAGUCUACCUGCUGUGUUAUAAACUGCAAUAUUCGUUCUCACGAUAUUAGUGGCAUAAAGCUUAAGAACGGAAAAUCCUUUUAUCGUUUUCCAGCGUGGAAAAAUAAUAAUACAAGCCAUGUUUCAGAGGUGACAAAAAGGCGACGAAUGGCAUGGAUAGCAGCAGUAAGGAGGCCCAAGAUUACCUUCGAUAACACUCCACCACACAUGAUGGUGUGUUCAAAGCAUUUUCACAAAGGCAAACCUGCCUAUGAAAUGUUGGAGUGUGAUCCUGACUGGGCCCCUUCUCUGUACCUCGGCCAUACUGAGGUCAAAGCUACGAACACAGACCGGUUCAAGCGGUUUAGGAGAAGAGCCACGAGGUCACAACAACACCAUCGCCAGGCACUGACUACACUGGUCCUGAGGCUGAGUUGGAAGCUCACAUGAAUCAACCCCCAUCGCCAGGCACUGACCACACUGGUCCUGAGGCUGAGUUGGAUAAUGCAGCACCUUUAUACCCAGACAACACUACACCUGCAACUGAGAUGGAAGGUCCCGUGAAUCCACCCCCAUCGCCGGGCACUGAUAUUAAAGAAAGUGUUACCCUUGUGGGUGCUACACUGAAAAUACCUGCCUUCACCAGGGGCCACAGACCAGGAAGUUAGCUCAUGUCAGGAUCCACGUGGAGCGAGUGAUCGGGUGUAUGCGCUCUAAGUUUAACAUAUUAAAUGACACAAUACUUCUGGGAUUUGGGGUGCCUUGAGAGGUGGAGGAUAAGACUUAGCUGGAUAUAAUUUUGGUUUGGGAGUGCUGUGCUUUGACCAAUAUGUGUCCAAGUAUUGUUGUGAAGCCGUCGUGUUAGAAUUAUACACCAUGCUCACAUCUAAUAUGUAAAUAUGUUUUUUUUUUUUUUUUUCAAAAGAUUUUGUAAUGUCACUUCUCACAUGUAAUGAUUUUUAGCCAUCUCUGUAAAUAAAAU